AACGAACGCUGGCGGCGUGCCUAACACAUGCAAGUCGAACGAGAAUUUUCCCUUCGGGGAAAUAGUAAAGUGGCGCAAGGGUGAGUAACACGUGAAUAAUCUGCCUACGAAUUCGGGAUAACGCGGCGAAAGCUGUGCUAAUACCGGAUAAGACCACAUCUCUUAAGAGAUGUGGCCAAAGGAACCUCAAGUUCCGUUUGUAGAUGAGUUCGCGAACCAUUAGCUUGUUGGCGGGAUAAUAGCCCACCAAGGCGACGAUGGUUAGCCGGCCUGAGAGGGUGAUCGGCCACACUGGAACUGAGACACGGUCCAGACUCCUACGGGAGGGCAGCAGUGGGGAAUAUUGCGCAAUGGGGGAAACCCUGAUGCAGCGAUGCCGCGUGAGUGAAG
Molecule: ribosomal RNA, 390 nt
Filed under: uncultured Nitrospina sp.
Lineage: Bacteria; Pseudomonadati; Nitrospinota; Nitrospinia; Nitrospinales; Nitrospinaceae
Description: bacterial SSU rRNA
Rfam family: Bacterial small subunit ribosomal RNA
Source: RNAcentral